GGGUUAGUAGGUUGGUCAUGCCUCUGGUAUGUACUGGUCUCACUGAUUCCUCCUUCCUGAUGAACCUUAAUGCCAUUUAUUUGGUGUUUUGGGGAGUUUGGACUGUUACUUUGGAAAAAUUAGAGUGUUUAAAGCAAGCUAACGCUUGAAUACAUUAGCAUGGAAUAAUGAAAUAGGACGUUCGAUCCUAUUUUGUUGGUUUCUAGGACCGACGCA
This 216-nucleotide ribosomal RNA is filed under the name Campeiostachys nutans. Its description in RNAcentral is "Elymus nutans partial small subunit ribosomal RNA". The stretch from base 40 to 216 matches the Rfam family "Eukaryotic small subunit ribosomal RNA", at positions 686 to 864 of the family's 1831-position model. Lineage: Eukaryota; Viridiplantae; Streptophyta; Magnoliopsida; Poales; Poaceae. The record is from RNAcentral.